AGAAACUUAGGUUACAACAAACCAAGGGCCUUCAAAGCCCUAAAUACGAGCUCAACCCUCAUAGUUUCUG
Molecule: transfer RNA, 70 nt
Filed under: Hemiphyllodactylus yunnanensis (Yunnan dwarf gecko)
Lineage: Eukaryota; Metazoa; Chordata; Lepidosauria; Squamata; Gekkonidae
Description: tRNA-Trp
Rfam family: tRNA
About the family: Transfer RNA (tRNA) molecules are approximately 80 nucleotides in length. Their secondary structure includes four short double-helical elements and three loops (D, anti-codon, and T loops). Further hydrogen bonds mediate the characteristic L-shaped molecular structure. tRNAs have two regions of fundamental functional importance: the anti-codon, which is responsible for specific mRNA codon recognition, and the 3' end, to which the tRNAs corresponding amino acid is attached (by aminoacyl-tRNA synthetases). tRNAs cope with the degeneracy of the genetic code in two manners: having more than one tRNA (with a specific anti-codon) for a particular amino acid; and 'wobble' base-pairing, i.e. permitting non-standard base-pairing at the 3rd anti-codon position.
Source: RNAcentral